Molecule: long non-coding RNA, 541 nt
Filed under: Musa acuminata (dwarf banana)
Lineage: Eukaryota; Viridiplantae; Streptophyta; Magnoliopsida; Zingiberales; Musaceae
Description: long non-coding RNA (MACU_LNC005391)
Source: RNAcentral
CAUUUACUAACUAGUAUACUUGGCAUACUCAUUUGCAUAAGUUAACUAUUAUUUUGGGCUCCCGUUUGCUUGGGUUUUUUUUUUUCUUUUAUAUGGAGAUUUGAAUCAUAAAAUUUCUUUAUAUCAGCUGAGGAGAACAAAGUUGUAUGUCCACUAUCACUAGUAUACUUCUCAAAGAAGUUUCCAUGAUCAUGCCAUCUCUGGUUUACUGAUGAAAUCUGGAAACUGAUUUAGAUUCAAGUGCUAGUGGGUUGUUGCCAAAUCAAUAAUUUGGGUCAAAAUUUUCUUGAACAUUAUAAUAUAUUGGCAAUGACAAGUGUAGGUCCCUUGCAGUGUUCUGUAGCACUAUAAUUUACUCACAAUGAUGGAACAUCUUCCCCAAUAAUUCUCAUGGAGAGACUGUGGGAGCAUUCCCCAAUACGUUGAAUGUGGCCAUUGUACCACAACUGGGCCAGCCUAAGUAUUAUAAUGUGAAUCAAAUGUUGCAUUUUGACUCACUUCUCUGCCUACCACAUGAAUCAAGUGUUAUAUGAUAACUCAC